UCAUAUAGACCGAACGGCGUGAUAAUUGC
RNAcentral lists this non-coding RNA (29 nucleotides) under Bombyx mori (domestic silkworm). Lineage: Eukaryota; Metazoa; Arthropoda; Insecta; Lepidoptera; Bombycidae. The record is from RNAcentral.